RNAcentral lists this ribosomal RNA (150 nucleotides) under Triticum aestivum (bread wheat). RNAcentral describes it as "partial small subunit ribosomal RNA". Lineage: Eukaryota; Viridiplantae; Streptophyta; Magnoliopsida; Poales; Poaceae. The record is from RNAcentral.
AUGUUGUUUGGACAGGCUGAGAAGAGGAAGCGCAAAGCACAAUAUUCUGUUGCUAUGAAGAGGAAGGAGGCUGAACGGACAAGAAGAAAGAUGGCUGCUGCGGCAAGAGACCGGGCAUGGGUGGGAAAGCGCAGAGCUAAAUCAGAUUGA